This 448-nucleotide ribosomal RNA is filed under the name uncultured bacterium. Its description in RNAcentral is "partial 16S ribosomal RNA". It matches the Rfam family "Bacterial small subunit ribosomal RNA", at positions 29 to 523 of the family's 1533-position model. The record is from RNAcentral.
GCGAACGCUGGCGGCAGGCCUAAUACAUGCAAGUCGAGCGGUCCCUUCGGGGGCAGCGGCGGACGGGUGAGUAACGCGUGGGAACGUGCCCUUUGGUACGGAACAACUGAGGGAAACUUCAGCUAAUACCGUAUGUGCCCUUCGGCGGAAAGAUUUAUCGCCAUUGGAGCGGCCCGCGUUAGAUUAGCUAGUUGGUAGGGUAAUGGCCUACCAAGGCGACGAUCUAUAGCUGGUCUGAGAGGAUGAUCAGCCACACUGGGACUGAGGCACGGCCCAGACUCCUACGGGAGGCAGCAGUAGGGAAUCUUGCGCAAUGGGCGAAAGCCUGACGCAGCCAUGCCGCGUGAAUGAUGAAGGUCUUAGGAUUGUAAAAUUCUUUCACCGGGGACGAUAAUGACGGUACCCGGAGAAGAAGCCCCGGCUAACUUCGUGCCAGCCGCCGCAGUAA